CAACCACGCCACGUUCAAAGCCCCUUAAAUCCCCUUUCUUCCCCGUUCUGAUGCUCGGCCUGCACUUCAGCAAGUCGUCUUGACCACCUCUACAUGCCUAAUAAAGUGGCCAGUGAGUGUAGCUCAGAGCAAAAGUUAAGAAGCCGACUUCAGGCACCAAACGUGUCUUGGCAGAUCGACUACGUGGUGUUUAAAUGAGAUUUUUUGCUCACUCAUUGCUUUACGUCUUACGUCUGCUAAGUGAUGCGCCCGUUUUUUGAACAGGUAGCCGUUACACUAGAAGUUUCAGAGUCCAGUCCUGAAGUGAACAGGCCUGCUCCAACAUAUCUGACCAAUGUUUUGAUGAGCUGCAUUACGUUUGUUAGUCUAAGCUGGUCUAAGCUGGCCUGUGCUAGCCUGGUGCUGCUGUCAUUCACCCAGCCUGGUCAUGCUGGUUGACCAGCAUUCCACAACACCACACAACAUCUCCUGGUUUUGCUGGUGACCCACCAUGCUGGUCUAUGCUGUUUUUUUCUAGUAGGAAUAUUUCGUGUGCUCUCCAGUUUAGACGACAUUAAAGGCCUCAUUAGCCAAGACGCUGUGUACCACUGGCCUUUAGGAACUGAAUAGUGUGUUUGCCUGCUUUACGGUUUUUACCGGGUGUACUGUGGCAUACAGACACUUUUCACCUAAUAUUUUUAAAAUAUUAACGUGCCAUACACACUAAUCUGCUGUGAUAAUAUUCUGAUAUUAAUUUAGAAUAGCUUUGUUCAAAUUUAGAGCAGCCUACAGGCACUGGUUUGACUUUAAACAAGGGAUUCGAUGAAAGAUGCGCUUUAAUACUGAUGGAGGGCCAACUUUGCUUCUAAACACUAACCCAAAACAGCAAGGAACGCAUUUUACUCAGCCUCCAUCUGUUGCUUUUGCCUUUGCUGCCCUCUCCUGGUCAGUCAGUGUCGGUGCUGGAAAUGGGACACUGACUAGGUCAUUAAAGUUCUAUCCCUGUUUAUAAUAAGUUCAUAGUUAUCAAUGAUGUAUGUAGGAAGUGUUCUGAUGGAGUGAUGAGGGGGAGACUAGAGCACACAAAUAAAGAGCAUCCUUAUAA
This is a long non-coding RNA of Pygocentrus nattereri (red-bellied piranha), 1084 nucleotides long. RefSeq lists it as uncharacterized. The record is from RefSeq and is a predicted model, not a curated record. The transcript is spliced from 2 exons. Lineage: Eukaryota; Metazoa; Chordata; Actinopteri; Characiformes; Serrasalmidae.